CUGUAUCUCAUCAGCUUUGUAUAGCUAUUAGGGUUACAGCCGCAGCUUAUCGUUCUUCAAUAUUUUUUUCUUUCGUGUACCAAAAAUAUUUGCGAUGAAGAGAAACAAACAAAAGGAAUAAUAGUGAUUGCUGAUAUUUCUGCAACAUGAUCCCUUUGUUUUGGUUCGUAUUCACUGAGCAUUAUCAAAUCACAACUUCUUUUUCUUUUUUAAAUAAUUUGUAUUUGUUUUUGAAAUUUAAAUCGAAGGUCCUAUGGAGGAAACGCCAUUAAUCAGUGCGUUUUUACUUCAAGUUUGCUUUCGGAAAUUGAAUUGAGAUCUAGAUCUUAUUAUCGACCAAGUGUUUCAUCCUGUAGCUUGGUUUUAGAUUUUGAUUUCAACAUUAUUUUAUUUAUUAUAAUAAUUAUUAU
Molecule: long non-coding RNA, 410 nt
Filed under: Cicer arietinum (chickpea)
Lineage: Eukaryota; Viridiplantae; Streptophyta; Magnoliopsida; Fabales; Fabaceae
Description: long non-coding RNA (CARI_LNC002415)
Source: RNAcentral